CCCUACGGGACGCAGCAGUGAGGAAUAUUGGUCAAUGGCCGAGAGGCUGAACCAGCCAAGUCGCGUGAGGGAAGACGGCCCUACGGGUUGUAAACCUCUUUUGUCGGGGAGCAAAGAGAGGCACGUGUGACUCAUUGAGAGUACCCGAAGAAAAAGCAUCGGCUAACUCCGUGCCAGCAGCCGCGGUAAUACGGAGGAUGCGAGCGUUAUCCGGAUUUAUUGGGUUUAAAGGGUGCGCAGGCGGAGGUGCAAGUCAGCGGUCAAAUUGCGUGGCUCAACCCCGAACUGCCGUCGAAACUGCAUCC
RNAcentral lists this ribosomal RNA (305 nucleotides) under uncultured bacterium. RNAcentral's name for it is "bacterial SSU rRNA". It matches the Rfam family "Bacterial small subunit ribosomal RNA", at positions 337 to 640 of the family's 1533-position model. The record is from RNAcentral.